UACGUAGGUCACGAGCGUUAUCCGGAAUUAUUGGGCGUAAAGAGUGAGCAGGCGGCAUAGCAAGUCUGAGGUGAAAGCGUGGGGCUCAACCCCAUACAGCCUUGGAAACUACUAAGCUAGAGUGCGUGAGAGGUAAACGGAACUCCAUGUGUAGCGGUGAAAUGCGUAGAUAUAUGGAAGAACACCAGUGGCGAAGGCGGUUUACCAGCACUGCACUGACGCUCAGUCACGAAAGCGUGGGGAGCAAAUA
Molecule: ribosomal RNA, 250 nt
Filed under: uncultured prokaryote
Description: partial 16S ribosomal RNA
Rfam family: Bacterial small subunit ribosomal RNA
Source: RNAcentral